RNAcentral lists this ribosomal RNA (207 nucleotides) under uncultured bacterium. Its description in RNAcentral is "partial 16S ribosomal RNA". It matches the Rfam family "Bacterial small subunit ribosomal RNA", at positions 568 to 774 of the family's 1533-position model. The record is from RNAcentral.
UGUGUAGGCGGUUCUUUAAGUUUGGUGUGAAAUCUCCCGGCUUAACCGGGAGGGUGCGCCGAAUACUGAGGGACUAGAGUACGGGAGAGGAAAGUGGAAUUCCUGGUGUAGCGGUGAAAUGCGUAGAUAUCAGGAGGAACACCGGUGGUGUAGACGGCUUUCUGGACCGUAACUGACGCUGAGACACGAAGGCGUGGGUAGCAAACA